GGGUCUGUAGCUCAACGGUAGAGCAAGCGGCUGUUAACCGCUAGGUCAGGGUUCGACUCCCUGCUGACCCG
Molecule: transfer RNA, 71 nt
Filed under: Deltaproteobacteria bacterium
Lineage: Bacteria; Pseudomonadati; Myxococcota; Myxococcia
Description: tRNA-Asn
Rfam family: tRNA
About the family: Transfer RNA (tRNA) molecules are approximately 80 nucleotides in length. Their secondary structure includes four short double-helical elements and three loops (D, anti-codon, and T loops). Further hydrogen bonds mediate the characteristic L-shaped molecular structure. tRNAs have two regions of fundamental functional importance: the anti-codon, which is responsible for specific mRNA codon recognition, and the 3' end, to which the tRNAs corresponding amino acid is attached (by aminoacyl-tRNA synthetases). tRNAs cope with the degeneracy of the genetic code in two manners: having more than one tRNA (with a specific anti-codon) for a particular amino acid; and 'wobble' base-pairing, i.e. permitting non-standard base-pairing at the 3rd anti-codon position.
Source: RNAcentral